Molecule: non-coding RNA, 24 nt
Filed under: Arabidopsis thaliana (thale cress)
Lineage: Eukaryota; Viridiplantae; Streptophyta; Magnoliopsida; Brassicales; Brassicaceae
Source: RNAcentral
GGACUUAUUUACAACCCAAUGCCA